GCAGCCACCGGUCACCUCAGCUGUGAACCAUGUAGGAGCCGUCUGGGUGUAGCCCUACCUGCCAGGCGGCGCCCCGCGGGCUGCCGCCGCCGCUGCCUUGAAGAAGCAGUUCAACCUCAUCAGCAGGUGGCCGACCUGACUAUGGGCCGGUCGGCUCUGGACCGAACCACAGCCCAGCCCGAGGCCAGCGGGACGCCCGCUGCCGCUCAAUCGCCCCCUGGUCCUUGGCGACCAUCUGGGACGGGCCGCUGCCUCCUCUGUAGCAACCCCUCGGGUGCCCCCUGCCCAUUGUCCCUACCCCGGCGAGCAUUGCCCUGCGAGGACUACACCCGAUGCUUCUCCUCUCUUCCGGAGGACACAGCCAGCCUGGGACCGCUGCCCUGUGCUAAAACUCCGAUGACUUCUGUCCCUAACGCUGUGCCGAGCGCUGUGCUGUGGGGGGCAGCAUUGUCAGACUUUCCGGGUUGACCCGCUGUUGGGAGUCCUUUAAGUGCAUGGUAGCAAGAAAUAAAGGGAUAUAUGAAAGCCAGUCGGAUUUGCUUAGUGAAUUUCAGAACGCCUGCGAGGGAAUUCGGAGGUGGUGCAGUCUCAGAAACCAGUAUUCCUAGGAACUUGACUGCUGCUGCAAGUUCUUGACAUUUAGAAAUUUAGAACUGGGAGACACCUUGUGCCAGUUUAAAAAGUCUUCUUCCUCUUGGAUUUGGAGACAGCUACUUCUCCAUGUUCCUUUGGUACUGCUUGAAUGCUUGAAAAGAAACAUAGGCAAACAAAAAUAAUUUAUAUACGGAAGAUGUGUGCUUAUGGAGGGAUAGCUAAUGCACUGAACAAAACCUAGCUGUCAUUAGAUGGAGGGAGGUAACAAAAGCUACCCAGAGAUGAAAAAUCUGAGCAGAGACUUUGUCAUCCGUCUUUAAACACUGCUUUCAAAUACUACUUGUAUUGAUUAGGUCUCUUGGCCAUAAAGAAAACCUAAAACUUCUUCAAGCAAAGAUAGGAAUUAGUUGUCUCCUAAGUAAUCACAAGAGUCCAAGAGUAGUGUGGCUGCAGAUUUGGCUACAUCCAGGGGUUUCACUCUUUGGGCAGGUCCAAAGAGAGACAGUCCACUGGGAGAGUUCCCAGUCUUCCGAGUCCCAGAGAGAAAGAAAACUCUUCUCCCAGUCACUGUGACAGAGUACCAGGAUCGGCUCUGAAUUAUUCUGGGUCCUAUACCUUUCCCCAGAAAUGGACUUGAGUGAGCACCACUCAAGCCAUAUGGACUGAGGUGGAGGAGUGCUGGUUCCCUAAGAGAUCUAAUGACCUUCUCCAGGAGUCGAGGACCCACUACCUCGCUGAAUUCUCAGAGUCAAAAUGCGUCUCUACCUGCUGGUCCCAGAACAGUCCCCUGCUGCUGCAUUGAAUGAAUCUCAUCUCACUUCCUCGAGUCAGCCCUACCUAUAUUUGAUGAUCACAAACCUUAUCCUUACGUUGCCAGCAGUAACAUUCUGCAUCCCUCACCCACUCCACUGUGUCCUUUUCCUCCCACUGAUCUUCACUCUGCCUUUUCUAGGGGAACUCUGAACAGUAUUUCUGAGAAGGGGUAGGUAAUGUGCGCUUUGCUUCAGUCUGAGUGGAUUCCAUCAACCUCUGCAUAGAGCAGGGGUGGAAAGAAAUCCUGUGUCAUUGCAGCUUCUUUUCGAUCUAAGCUUUCAUGGCCUUAUUAUGUAGUUUACAUGUUUUUGUCAGACAACAGGAUGUUUUGCCUAUAUCAUUCUAUUUCCCUUUCUCAAAUGUUGGAGAUGCCAUAGUAAUUAAUGAAGUACAAAUCCAUUUUAAAAUAUCUUACUCCUGGCCAGGCGCAGUGGCUCACUUCUGUAAUCCCAGCACUUUGGGAGGCGGAGGCGAGCGGAUCACUUGAGGUCAGGAGUUUGAGACCAGCCUGGCCAACGUGGUAAAACCCCGUCUCUACUAAAAAUACGAAAAUGAGCCGGUGUGGUGGCAGGCGCCUGUAGUCCCAGCUCCUCCGGAGGCUGAGGUGGAAGAAUUGCUUGAACCCAGGAGGCAGAGGUUGCAGUGAGCCAAGAUCUUGCCGCUGCGCUCCAGCCUGGGUGACAGAGUGAGACUCUGACUCAAAAAAAUCAUGCUCCUCUCUGCUUGGUGUAUGUGUCUUUCCUUAAAGUUAGAUAUUAAAAGUACAAUAGAGUCACAGUCUCUUAUCUGGAAGUUUUGGGGUCAGAUAACUUUCAGAAUUCAGAUUGUUUCAGAUUUUUCUAAAAGUAAUAAUGCACGUAUGAUGUGGUUAUAUAAUGCUCUGGGCUCUGGGACAACACCCGAUAGUCAAACAUAUUAUUGUUACUAUAGCAAAAUGUAUGAAUAUUUUCACACUUCAUGGAUGCGUAAAGAUUAUACAUAGCUUCAUGUCGACUCAGGUCAACUUUUGUUGCCAAAUAAGUUACAAAAAAAACUUAUUUUGUAGAGCUUUUUGGAUUUCAAAAUGGUAGAUAGGGAUUGUGGACCUGUCUUAGUAUAAGUACCUAUUGAGAGUCUGUGAAAUUUUUUUACUUUAAAGAAUAUUUUCCAUAUUCCAAAAGGUUGGAAACCACAGUUAUAUUGUAUAAGCAGGGGUCACAAACUCAAGUGCAAGGGCCAGUAAAAUAAAUAAGUGGGAGGCGGGUAUAGGACAGUAGGGAAUGGGGGGACUGUAGUGAACCGGUGAGUACGUGUUCAUUCAAAGGGGAACAUGGCCACGUAUUGUCAUGGUGAAUGUGGGAGUAGUGAAGCCUCAUCUUCCAUUUUUAAUGAUACUCCAGAAUGCUGAAUUCCAUGUGAAGUUUCUUGAUAUUUAAAUAUUGGCAACCAAAAAGAAAAAAGAAACUCACUGUAUUAGCCAAAUAAAACAUAAUCUGCAGGUUUUAUCUGGCUGCAGGCUGCCUGCUUUACUUCUGAUUUGCAGAUUAAUGCCGAUGGUAUGAAAAGUUGUCAGUGUUUUUGGUAAUGAAUUACUUCUUGAGAUGUGGAUGGAUACAUAUGUUUUGUAAUUAUUCAUUACACCCCAUAUAUAUGCUGUAUGGUUUUUGUGUAUAAAAUAUUUCAUAAUAAAAAAACCUAGACAGGCCAAGUUGGGUGGAUCACCUGAGGUCGGGAGUUUGAGACCAGCCUGGCCGAUAUGGAGAAACCCCAUUUCUACUAAAAAUACAAAAAAUUAGCAGGGCAUGGUGGCACAUGCUUGUAAUCCCAGCUACUUGGGAGGCUGAGGCAGGAGAAUCACUUGAACCCAGGAGGCGGAGGUUGCAGUGAGCCGAGAUCGCGCCAUUGCACUCCAGCCUGGGCAACAAGAGCGAAACUCCGUCCAAAAAAACAAAAAAACAAACAAAACCUAGACAACUUGCUAGUCACUUUAUUUUAGACCUGCCUCAUUUUCUGGCCAGUGGGAAGUUUCCUUCUUAUCUACAAAUUUGAAACUUUAAAUUUUUUUAUCUUGGAAAAGGGAAUGAAAGCCCCACUUUAAAAAUGGGAGCCCUCCUUAAAAGUAGUUUAGUGGCCAGGCACUGUGGCUCAUGCCUGUAAUCCUAGCAUGCUGGGAGGCCAAGAUGGGAGGAUCACUUGAGGCCAGGAGUUUGAGACUAGCCUGGUCAAUAUAGCGAGACCCCACCUCUCUCUAUAGAUAGAUAGAUAGGUAGAUAGAUAGAUAGAUAGAUAGACAGAUAGAUAGAUAGAUAGAGAUAUAGAUAUAGUAAAAGUAGGAGUUUAAAAAGGUUAGAUUGUAGCUGAGCGUGGUGGCUCACGCCUGCAAUCCCAGCACUUUGGGAGGCCAAGGCGGGCAGAUCACGAGGUCAGGAGAUCGAGACCAUCCUGGCUAACACAGUGAAACCCCAUCUCUACUAAAAAAAAUACAAAAAAAAAAAAAAUUAGCCAGGCAUGGUGGCAGGCGCCUGUAGUCCCAGCUGCUGGGGAGGCUGAGGCAGGAGAAUGGCAUGAACCCAGGAGGCGGAGCGUGCAGUGAGCCAAGAUCGCGCCACUGCACCACUGCACUCCAGCCUGGGUGACAGAGCAAGACUCCAUCUCAAAAAAAAAAAAAAAAAAGGUUAGAUUGUAAUCUUUCUACCUUUCCAGGGCCAUAGUGAUCCGAAGUAACAUUAGGUAUCUGUCCUUAUAUUGGGACAGAAAGAUGUCCUUCGUGUCCUCUCUUUUGAGAUCUUUUCCCUGGGUCAUCUCAGCUCCAUAACUGUCACCUCAUGAUUGAUGACUCUGUUUUAUGCUUCCAG
Molecule: long non-coding RNA, 4241 nt
Filed under: Homo sapiens (human)
Lineage: Eukaryota; Metazoa; Chordata; Mammalia; Primates; Hominidae
Description: non-protein coding LCMT1-AS1:15
Source: RNAcentral